UUUACCCUGCCUUGCGCGUGAACGGCAACAAAGCCCUUGAACCGUACUAGCCAUCCCGGGACCCAAGCCGCUGCAAAGCUGUGGCCGACAGGCCUUCCUGCGGGAAGGAAGUCGAAAGCAGCGCGGCCGUCCCACAUGUUGCAAAACAUGUUCAAAGGGAGCGUUGCACACGGCAAAGGCGGGGUAUUU
RNAcentral lists this non-coding RNA (189 nucleotides) under Verrucomicrobiota bacterium. Its description in RNAcentral is "6S RNA". It matches the Rfam family "6S / SsrS RNA". From Rfam's summary of the family: E. coli 6S RNA was the first non coding RNA to be sequenced, but its function was unknown until recently. It consists of 184 nucleotides that fold into an extended hairpin structure with a large single-stranded internal bulge. The 6S RNA specifically associates with RNA polymerase holoenzyme containing the sigma70 specificity factor. The record is from RNAcentral. Lineage: Bacteria; Pseudomonadati; Verrucomicrobiota. RNAcentral also lists the same sequence under 1 other name.